AUGAAAUGACAAGUCGGUGGAUUGUGCUGGUGCCCCCAAAGGCGCAUGUGCACAUCCAUCGCAAAUCCACACACCUGUGCACUUUAGACUCCGAGCGAGCAGUCCAUUUGGGCCGCACCUCGGAGUAAUUUUACACACUCGUAUGUAAAAGGAUGUUGACGUGCUUAGCACAAUAACAUA
RNAcentral lists this unclassified non-coding RNA (180 nucleotides) under uncultured Sebacinales. RNAcentral describes it as "sequence contains ITS1". Lineage: Eukaryota; Fungi; Basidiomycota; Agaricomycetes; Sebacinales. The record is from RNAcentral.